Molecule: ribosomal RNA, 253 nt
Filed under: uncultured bacterium
Lineage: Bacteria
Description: partial 16S ribosomal RNA
Rfam family: Bacterial small subunit ribosomal RNA
Source: RNAcentral
UACGGAGGGUGCAAGCGUUAUCCGGAUUCACUGGGCGUAAAGGGUGCGUAGGCGGGCAGGUAAGUCAGUGGUGAAAUCUCCGGGCUUAACCCGGAAACUGCCGUUGAUACUAUCUGUCUUGAAUAUAGUAGAGGUGAGCGGAAUAUGUCAUGUAGCGGUGAAAUGCUUAGAUAUGACAUAGAACAUCGAUUGCGAAGGCAGCUCGCUACGCUAUUAUUGACACUGAGGCACGAAAGCGUGGAGAUCAAACAGG